CAACCGGCGAACGGGUGCGUAACACGUGAGCAACCUACCGAACUGUGGGGGAUAGCCGGCCUAACGGCCGAGUAAUACCGCGUACGCUUUCAGUGAGGCAUUUCAUUGAAAGGAAACCUACGGGACAGAUCGAGGGGCUCGCGGCCUAUCAGCUUGUUGGUGGGGUGAAGGCCUACCAAGGCGACGACGGGUAGCCGGCCUGAGAGGGCGACCGGCCACACUGGGACUGAGACACGGCCCAG
Molecule: ribosomal RNA, 242 nt
Filed under: uncultured bacterium
Lineage: Bacteria
Description: partial 16S ribosomal RNA
Rfam family: Bacterial small subunit ribosomal RNA
Source: RNAcentral